RNAcentral lists this RNase P RNA (384 nucleotides) under Tigheibacillus jepli. Its description in RNAcentral is "RNase P RNA component class B". It matches the Rfam family "Bacterial RNase P class B". Rfam says of the family: Ribonuclease P (RNase P) is a ubiquitous endoribonuclease, found in archaea, bacteria and eukarya as well as chloroplasts and mitochondria. Its best characterised activity is the generation of mature 5'-ends of tRNAs by cleaving the 5'-leader elements of precursor-tRNAs. Cellular RNase Ps are ribonucleoproteins. Lineage: Bacteria; Bacillati; Bacillota; Bacilli; Caryophanales; Bacillaceae. The record is from RNAcentral.
AGUGCUUUGUAAUCGCUGCAUGAUAUUGCAGAGGAAAGUCCAUGCUCGCACAAACUGAGAUGUUUGUAGUGUUCGUGCUUGAUGAAUAAAUAAGUCAAGGUAACCAUUAUGGUUAACGGCAGCAAAAAAUUCUAAGUCCUUCGGGAUAUGAAUGAGUAUGCUUGAAAGUGCCACAGUGACGAAGCUGGAUUGAAAAAUUCCAGGUGGAACGAGGUAAACCCCGCGAGCGAGCAACCCAAAUAAUGGUAGGGGCACCCUUGAUUAGGGAAUUCAACCGAAAAAGGGACAAGCAUGACGAUAUUGCUUGUAGAUAGAUGAUUACAACCAGGUGUACGAGGCUGACCACCGUUUGAAGUACAAUGGAACAGAACAUGGCUUAUAAGC